This 779-nucleotide ribosomal RNA is filed under the name Glomus sp. Its description in RNAcentral is "bacterial SSU rRNA". It matches the Rfam family "Eukaryotic small subunit ribosomal RNA", at positions 21 to 796 of the family's 1831-position model. The record is from RNAcentral. Lineage: Eukaryota; Fungi; Glomeromycota; Glomeromycetes; Glomerales; Glomeraceae.
GGCAUUAUGUUAGUCUCAAAGAUCAAGCCAUGCUUGCCUAAGUAUUAAUCGUGUAUACAGUUGAAACUGCCAAUGGCUCAUGAAAUCAGUUAUAAUUUAUUUGAUAGUACCUUACUACUUUGAUAACCGUCGUAAUUCUAAAGCUAAUACGUGCUAAAACUUCCGACUUCGGGAAGGGGGUUUAUUUAUUAGAUAAAAAAGCAAUAUCGGCCAACCGAUUGCCUUGGUGAUUCAUAAUAACUGUUCGAAUCGUUUGACUUCACGUCGACGUUGAAUCAUUCACAUUUCUGCGCUAUCAACGAUUUGGAUGGUAGAAUAGAGGCUUACCAUGGGGGUAACGGGAAACGGGGUGCUAGGGCACGCCACCGGAGAUGGAGCCUGACAAACGGCUAUCACAUCCAAAGAUGGCAGCGGGCGCGCAAUUUACCCAAUGCCGACACGGAGAGGUAGUGCCAAUAAAUACCAAUACGGGUUUCUUUCGGUUCUCGUAAUGGGAAUGAGUCCAAUUUAAACCUCUUAACGGCCUGGAACAAUUAGAGGGCAAGCCUGGUGCCACCAGCCGCGGAAAUUCCAGCCCCAAUAGCGAAUAUUAAAGGUGUUGCAGUCAAAAAGCUCUUAGUUGAAUCUCGGGGUUACUAGGUUGGUUAUGCCUCUGAUAUGUACUGUUCUCACUGACUCCUCCUUCUUGAUGAACCAUAAUGCCAUCAAUUUGGUGGUUCGGGGAAAUUGGACUGUCACUUUGAAAUAAUUAGAGUUUUUAAAGCAGGCUAACGCUUACC